CUUGGUGGCGUACCCACUGGGAACUAUUGUUUAAUAGUUCUCACGCCCUUUUUGUUGUUGUUUUUACAGAGCCUUCCACAGCGGGUAAGGCUAGGGUCCCUGGCGAGGGGUCAGCGACUAGCUAGAGCUUCCUCAAUGUUAGAUAGCUGGAACCACUUCAACUUUUCUAGUUUUGUGCUAUAAAUUAUAGUUGUUCUUACCUGUUGUAAUAGGAUGUUGUGUUGUAUAAGUUUCCUAUAUUUGUAAGUUAUGCUCUGAUUACCUAGUUAGAAUCGAUUGCUUGUUUAUUCUCUUUGUAGACGCCUGGUGUACAUUGUGGUAGUUGAUGUACACGGCGGGUCUGUGCACAUUACUGUGAGCUUCCGCUGAAGUCCAGGGCGUGACA
RNAcentral lists this long non-coding RNA (385 nucleotides) under Ananas comosus (pineapple). Its description in RNAcentral is "long non-coding RNA (ACOM_LNC009174)". The record is from RNAcentral. Lineage: Eukaryota; Viridiplantae; Streptophyta; Magnoliopsida; Poales; Bromeliaceae.